CCCUUAGAUGUUCUGGGCUGCACGCGCGCUACACUGACGAAUGCAACGAGCUUAUAACCUUGGCCGAAAGGUCUGGGUAAUCUCCAAAUUUCGUCGUGAUGGGGAUAGAUUAUUGCAAUUAUUAAUCUUCAACGAGGAAUGCCUAGUAAGCGCAAGUCAUCAGCUUGCGUUGAUUACGUCCCUGCCCUUUGUACACACCGCCCGUCGCUCCUACCGAUUGAAUGGUCCGGUGAAGCGCUCGGACCGCGGCCUCUUGACGGGUCUCCGUCGAUUGGCUGUGGGAAGUUCGUUAAACCUUAUCAUUUAGAGGAAGGAGAAGUCGUAACA
RNAcentral lists this ribosomal RNA (327 nucleotides) under uncultured eukaryote. RNAcentral's name for it is "partial 18S ribosomal RNA". It matches the Rfam family "Eukaryotic small subunit ribosomal RNA", at positions 1470 to 1796 of the family's 1831-position model. The record is from RNAcentral.